Molecule: ribosomal RNA, 397 nt
Filed under: uncultured bacterium
Lineage: Bacteria
Description: partial 16S ribosomal RNA
Rfam family: Bacterial small subunit ribosomal RNA
Source: RNAcentral
AUACGAAGGGUGCAAGCGUUACUCGGAAUUACUGGGCGUAAAGCGUGCGUAGGUGGUUGUUUAAGUCUGUCGUGAAAGCCCUGGGCUCAACCUGGGAAUGGCGAUGGAAACUGGGCGACUAGAGUGUGGCAGAGGGUAGUGGAAUUCCUGGUGUAGCAGUGAAAUGCGUAGAGAUCAGGAGGAACAUCCGUGGCGAAGGCGACUGCCUGGGCCAACACUGACACUGAGGCACGAAAGCGUGGGGAGCAAACAGGAUUAGAUACCCUGGUAGUCCACGCCCUAAACGAUGCGAACUGGAUGUUGGGUGCAAUUUGGCACGCAGUAUCGAAGCUAACGCGUUAAGUUCGCCGCCUGGGGAGUACGGUCGCAAGAUUAAAACUCAAAGGAAUUGACGGGG